AUGAGGAUUCGCGAGCUGGGGGACGGCGACGGGAGGCCGGUGGAGGGGGAGGAGCCGGAGGAGGCCUGGGCUGGCGGCGGCGAGGUCGUGCGGCUGAGGGCCAAGCGCGCGCUCGUCGGCGCCGGCGCCAGGGUGCUCUUCUACCCGACGCUUCUCUACAACGUCCUGCGCAACCAGUUCGAGGCGGAGUUCCGGUGGUGGGACCGCGUCGACCAGUGCAUUUUGCUAGGAGCUGUUCCUUUCCCAAGUGAUGUUCCACGUUUGAAGCAACUUGGAGUUCAGGGAGUUGUAACAUUGAAUGAGCCUUAUGAGACUCUGGUGCCAAUGUCCUUGUACCAGGCCUAUGGGAUUGAUCACCUUGUGAUUGCCACAAGAGACUACCUGUUCGCACCAUCCCUUGAAGAUAUUUGUCGAGCCAUUGAUUUUAUCCACCGCAAUGCGUCACAAGGUGGAACUACUUAUGUUCACUGUAAAGCUGGUAGAGGACGAAGUACCACUAUUGUUUUGUGCUAUUUGAUCAAAUAUAGGAACAUGACUCCUGAAGCAGCUUUGGAUCAUGUACGAUCCAUUAGGCCCCGAGUGCUUUUGGCACCAUCACAGUGGCAGGCUGUUAUCGUAUUUAGCACUCUCACCACUGGACGUCUUCCAGUAAGGAGUACAAACCUAAACUGUUACCUAGAAGGCACCAAAGCCUCCAUUCCUGACAGUGAUAUCGAGGACUGCACGGUGGAGUUUGAUUACGAUGAUAGCGGUUUACCUCUUUGUCAAGUUAUGGUACCGAGGCCAAGCAGUCCAACUGGAUGUGUCGAUGCAGUGUUCAUAACGGAAGCAGAUCUGGAGGGCUACGAUGCAUAUGUUGAUACCGGGAAGGAUGUUGUGACAUUUGAAGUAGUAGCCAGUCGCAAGCCCAUUAUGAGGAGACUAUCGUGCCUCUUUGGAUCAUUGAAAGUUACCAGCAACUGUGAGCCAGCCCCAAGCCGAUUUACCGAGGUUCGCGCCUGCUAG
RNAcentral lists this ribosomal RNA (1005 nucleotides) under Triticum aestivum (bread wheat). RNAcentral's name for it is "partial small subunit ribosomal RNA". Lineage: Eukaryota; Viridiplantae; Streptophyta; Magnoliopsida; Poales; Poaceae. The record is from RNAcentral.